CCUANGGGUGGCUGCAGUAAGGAAUAUUGCACAAUGGGCGAAAGCCUGAUGCAGCAACGCCGCGUGGGUGAAGAAGGCCUUCGGGUCGUAAAACCCUUUUCCAGGGGAAGAGUGAGGACGGUACCCUGGGAAUAAGUCUCGGCUUACUACGUGCCAGCAGCCGCGGUAAAACGUAGGAGGCGAGCGUUAUCCGGAUUUAUUGGGCGUAAAGCGCGCGCGGGCGGCGUCUCAAGUCGGAUGUGAAAUCUCCUGGCUUAACUGGGAGACUGCGUUCGAAACUAGGACGCUUGAGGUCAGUAGGGGGGAGUGGAAUUCCAGGUGUAGUGGUAAAAUGCGUAGAUAUCUGGAGGAACACCAGUGGCGAAGGCGGCUCCCUGGACUGCACCUGACGCUGAGGCGCGAAAGCGUGGGGAGCGAACGGGAUUAGAUACCCGUNUANUC
This 441-nucleotide ribosomal RNA is filed under the name uncultured bacterium. RNAcentral's name for it is "bacterial SSU rRNA". It matches the Rfam family "Bacterial small subunit ribosomal RNA", at positions 338 to 795 of the family's 1533-position model. The record is from RNAcentral.